Molecule: transfer RNA, 74 nt
Filed under: Chloroflexota bacterium
Lineage: Bacteria; Bacillati; Chloroflexota
Also listed under: 1 other name
Description: Chloroflexi bacterium tRNA-Val
Rfam family: tRNA
About the family: Transfer RNA (tRNA) molecules are approximately 80 nucleotides in length. Their secondary structure includes four short double-helical elements and three loops (D, anti-codon, and T loops). Further hydrogen bonds mediate the characteristic L-shaped molecular structure. tRNAs have two regions of fundamental functional importance: the anti-codon, which is responsible for specific mRNA codon recognition, and the 3' end, to which the tRNAs corresponding amino acid is attached (by aminoacyl-tRNA synthetases). tRNAs cope with the degeneracy of the genetic code in two manners: having more than one tRNA (with a specific anti-codon) for a particular amino acid; and 'wobble' base-pairing, i.e. permitting non-standard base-pairing at the 3rd anti-codon position.
Source: RNAcentral
GGGCAGGUAGCUCAGCUGGUUAGAGCACCACGUUGACAUCGUGGGGGUCGGAGGUUCGAGUCCUCUCCUGCCCA